This 468-nucleotide ribosomal RNA is filed under the name uncultured bacterium. RNAcentral's name for it is "partial 16S ribosomal RNA". It matches the Rfam family "Bacterial small subunit ribosomal RNA", at positions 28 to 507 of the family's 1533-position model. The record is from RNAcentral.
GACGAACGCUGGCGGCGUGCUUAACACAUGCAAGUCGAACGGAAAGGCCCUGCUUUUGUGGGGUGCUCGAGUGGCGAACGGGUGAGUAACACGUGAGUAACCUGCCCUUGACUUUGGGAUAACUUCAGGAAACUGGGGCUAAUACCGGAUAGGAGCUCCUGCUGCAUGGUGGGGGUUGGAAAGUUUCGGCGGUUGGGGAUGGACUCGCGGCUUAUCAGUUUGUUGGUGGGGUAGUGGCUUACCAAGGCUUUGACGGGUAGCCGGCCUGAGAGGGUGACCGGCCACAUUGGGACUAAGAUACGGCCCAGACUCCUACGGGGGGCAGCAGUGGGGAAUAUUGCACAAUGGGCGGAAGCCUGAUGCAACAACGCCGCGUGCGGGAUGACGGCCUUCGGGUUGUAAACCGCUUUCGCCCGUGACGAAGCGUGAGUGACGGUAAUGGGUAAAGAAGCACCGGCUAACUACGUG